This 61-nucleotide transfer RNA is filed under the name Ogadenus brumpti. RNAcentral's name for it is "tRNA-Arg". The record is from RNAcentral. Lineage: Eukaryota; Metazoa; Arthropoda; Arachnida; Ixodida; Argasidae. RNAcentral also lists the same sequence under 1 other name.
UAAAAAGAAGCGAUAACUUUGCAAUCAGUUUCGACCUGACAUUAGGAUUAACCCUUUUUAA